RNAcentral lists this ribosomal RNA (377 nucleotides) under uncultured bacterium. RNAcentral describes it as "bacterial SSU rRNA". It matches the Rfam family "Bacterial small subunit ribosomal RNA", at positions 523 to 898 of the family's 1533-position model. The record is from RNAcentral.
AGACGUAGGGGGCGAGCGUUGUCCGGAAUUACUGGGCGUAAAGAGCACGUAGGCGGAUUAUUAAGUCAGGUGUGAAAGACCGUGGCUCAACCACGGGGUUGCACUUGAAACUGGAAAUCUUGAGGGCAGGAGAGGGCAGUAGAAUUCCUGGUGUAGCGGUGAAAUGCGUAGAAAUCAGGAGGAAUACCAGUGGCGAAGGCGGCUGCCUGGACUGACCCUGACGCUGAGGUGCGAAAGCGUGGGUAGCAAACAGGAUUAGAUACCCUGGUAGUCCACGCCGUAAACGAUGGAUACUAGGUGUAGGAGGUAUCGACCCCUUCUGUGCCGCAGCUAACGCAAUAAGUAUCCCGCCUGGGGAGUACGGUCGCAAGGCUGAA